This 997-nucleotide long non-coding RNA is filed under the name Heterocephalus glaber (naked mole-rat). RNAcentral's name for it is "lncRNA (ENSHGLG00000048315.1)". The record is from RNAcentral. Lineage: Eukaryota; Metazoa; Chordata; Mammalia; Rodentia; Bathyergidae.
UGGGGCUUGAGGCCAAGGGCCGAAAGCGAACGAGGGUGGGAAUGUUCAGUCUGUUACCCUGGCUCCUUCUCUUCGCGUACAGCUGAUUAGCAUGUUAGUACAACCCCAGCAGAACUGACUUUACCACUUAUUCUAACUCGGGAAAAGAAUGUAAAACCCUGGAUGCCCCGCUGACUCUCCUGAAAUUGGUUUUCCUCGUCUGUUUAAUGAGGGUAGUAAGUAAGAUAGCUGGACUGGGCUUCCUCACCAUUCAUUCACCAUGCAAAAGUUAUUUGCUGCCGGGUGCAAGCCUGUAAUCCCAGCUCUGAGCUGAGGGUCUCACUACAGCUGAUCUCAAACUUGUGAUCCUCCUGCAUUAGCCCCCCAGAGAACUGGGAUUUCAGGGAUGGAUUUCAGGGAGUCCAAGACAAAUGGUGAGGACACCGAGUGCUCUCAAGAGGAAGGAAGGAGAUGAAGUGGUCUAAAAGAGGUUGCUGCUAAGGCGAGUGGAAAGCGGUCCUGACUGCUGUGUAUUGUACCAUGCUGCUGACUGCAUAAAAAAGGAAGACUGUACAUCGUUUCUGUGUGUUUGUUUGGUUUUGGGUACUGGGAUUGAACUCAAAACUUUGUGCUCCCAAGGCAGGCACAGUGCCUCUGAGCUAAAUCCCUGACCCCAUCGUUUGUACCUGAUGGAAAUAUCACGGAGGGUGCAUAGAAAAUUCAGAACCAAUGGGCUGGGGAUUUAGCUCAGUGGUUUCUGAAGGACCCUAGUUAGCAAGACAGACUCCAUAUUGCUGCUUGACCCACCUGCUUGCCCUUUAGAUGAACUCAGAAGGAGGAAGCUUAGAAACCUCCUCCCCUUAGAAAGUCUCUUUAGAAACAAUUAAUCAACUACUGUUUUACAAAUGUUCUAACAGCAGGACGUUCCGCUUCUGUACCUUUUGCUUGCUUUACUAGUUCUAUCCCAUGGAGGGGGGCCUAGAAACUGCUGGCCUCAAAGGUGUAUAAAACAUGUUUG